AGCAGCCGCGGUAAUUCCAGCUCCAAUAGCGUAUAUUAAAGUUGUUGCAGUUAAAAAGCUCGUAGUUGAAUUUCGGGGUUAGUAGGCUGGUCGUGCCACCGGUACGUACUGGUCUUACUGAUUCCUCCUUCCUGAUGAACUGUAAUGCCAUUAAUUUGGUGUUGCAGGGAAUCUGGACUGUUACUUUGAAAAAAUUAGAGUGUUUAAAGCAGGCUAACGCUUGAAUACAUUAGCAUGGAAUAAUGAAAUAGGACGUUCGAUCCUAUUUUGUUGGUUUCUAGGAUUGACGUAAUGAUUAAUAGGGAUAGUUGGGGGCAUUAGUAUUCAAUUGUCAGAGGUGAAAUUCUUGGAUUUAUUGAAGACUAACUACUGCGAAAGCAUUUGCCAAGGAUGUUUUCAUUAAUCAAGAACGAAAGUUAGGGGAUCGAAGACGAUCAGAUACCGUCGUAG
This 450-nucleotide ribosomal RNA is filed under the name uncultured Glomus. Its description in RNAcentral is "SSU rRNA". It matches the Rfam family "Eukaryotic small subunit ribosomal RNA", at positions 569 to 1023 of the family's 1831-position model. Lineage: Eukaryota; Fungi; Glomeromycota; Glomeromycetes; Glomerales; Glomeraceae. The record is from RNAcentral.